Molecule: ribosomal RNA, 450 nt
Filed under: uncultured bacterium
Lineage: Bacteria
Description: bacterial SSU rRNA
Rfam family: Bacterial small subunit ribosomal RNA
Source: RNAcentral
GUGGGGAAUAUUGGACAAUGGGCGAAAGCCUGAUCCAGCCAUGCCGCGUGUGUGAAGAAGGUCUUCGGAUUGUAAAGCACUUUAAGUUGGGAGGAAGGGCAGUAAGUUAAUACCUUGCUGUUUUGACGUUACCAACAGAAUAAGCACCGGCUAACUUCGUGCCAGCAGCCGCGGUAAUACGAAGGGUGCAAGCGUUAAUCGGAAUUACUGGGCGUAAAGCGCGCGUAGGUGGUUCAGCAAGUUGAUGGUGAAAUCCCCGGGCUCAACCUGGGAACUGCCUCCAAAACUACUGAGCUAGAGUACGGUAGAGGGUAGUGGAAUUUCCUGUGUAGCGGUGAAAUGCGUAGAUAUAGGAAGGAACACCAGUGGCGAAGGCGACCACCUGGACUGAUACUGACACUGAGGUGCGAAAGCGUGGGGAGCAAACAGGAUUAGAAACCCUUGUAGUCC